UAGGUGAACCUGCGGAAGGAUCAUUAAAGAAYGCCCCGUUUUUUGAAAUGGGUUCUAUUCCCAAACCGUGUAUACAUACCUUUGUUGCUUUGGCAGGCCGCCUUCGGGCGUCGGCUCACGCUGACCGCGCCUGCCAGAGGACCCAAACUCGWUUGUUUAGUGAUGUCUGAGUACUAUAUAAUAGUUAAAACUUUCAACAACGGAUCUCUUGGUUCUGGCAUCGAUGAAGAACGCAGCGAAAUGCGAUAAGUAAUGUGAAUUGCAGAAUUCAGUGAAUCAUCGAAUCUUUGAACGCACAUUGCGCCCCUUGGUAUUCCGAGGGGCAUGCCUGUUCGAGCGUCAUUAUGACCACUCAAGCCUAGCUUGGUAUUGGGGUUCGCGGUCUCGCGGCCCUUAAAAUCAGUGGCGGUGCCAUCUGGCUCUAAGCGUAGUAAUUYAUCUCGCUAUUGGGUCCGGUGGYUGCUUGCCAACAACCCCCAACUUCUAAGGUUGACCUCGGAUCAGGUA
RNAcentral lists this ribosomal RNA (507 nucleotides) under uncultured fungus. RNAcentral describes it as "eukaryotic LSU rRNA". The stretch from base 189 to 342 matches the Rfam family "5.8S ribosomal RNA". Lineage: Eukaryota; Fungi. The record is from RNAcentral.